RNAcentral lists this ribosomal RNA (449 nucleotides) under uncultured bacterium. RNAcentral describes it as "partial 16S ribosomal RNA". It matches the Rfam family "Bacterial small subunit ribosomal RNA", at positions 29 to 523 of the family's 1533-position model. The record is from RNAcentral.
AACGAACGCUGGCGGCAUGCCUAACACAUGCAAGUCGAACGAGACCUUCGGGUCUAGUGGCGCACGGGUGCGUAACGCGUGGGAAUCUACCCUUGGGUUCGGAAUAACAGUUAGAAAUGACUGCUAAUACCGGAUGAUGACGUAAGUCCAAAGAUUUAUCGCCCAAGGAUGAGCCCGCGUAAGAUUAGCUUGUUGGUGGGGUAAUGGCCUACCAAGGCGACGAUCUUUAGCUGGUCCGAGAGGAUGAUCAGCCACACUGGGACUGGGACCAGGGCCAGACUCGCAAGGGUGGCAGCAGGGGGGAAUAUUGGACCAUGGGCGAAAGCUUGAUCCAGCAAUGCCGCGUGGGUGAUUAAGGCCUUAGGGUUGUAAAGCUCUUUUACCAGGGAUGAUAAUGACAGUACCUGGAGAAUAAGCUCCGGCUAACUCCGUGCCAGCCGCCGCGGUAA